RNAcentral lists this ribosomal RNA (862 nucleotides) under Escherichia coli. RNAcentral describes it as "partial 23S ribosomal RNA". It matches the Rfam family "Bacterial large subunit ribosomal RNA", at positions 604 to 1470 of the family's 2925-position model. Lineage: Bacteria; Pseudomonadati; Pseudomonadota; Gammaproteobacteria; Enterobacterales; Enterobacteriaceae. The record is from RNAcentral.
CCUUUUGUAUAAUGGGUCAGCGACUUAUAUUCUGUAGCAAGGUUAACCGAAUAGGGGAGCCGAAGGGAAACCGAGUCUUAACUGGGCGUUAAGUUGCAGGGUAUAGACCCGAAACCCGGUGAUCUAGCCAUGGGCAGGUUGAAGGUUGGGUAACACUAACUGGAGGACCGAACCGACUAAUGUUGAAAAAUUAGCGGAUGACUUGUGGCUGGGGGUGAAAGGCCAAUCAAACCGGGAGAUAGCUGGUUCUCCCCGAAAGCUAUUUAGGUAGCGCCUCGUGAAUUCAUCUCCGGGGGUAGAGCACUGUUUCGGCAAGGGGGUCAUCCCGACUUACCAACCCGAUGCAAACUGCGAAUACCGGAGAAUGUUAUCACGGGAGACACACGGCGGGUGCUAACGUCCGUCGUGAAGAGGGAAACAACCCAGACCGCCAGCUAAGGUCCCAAAGUCAUGGUUAAGUGGGAAACGAUGUGGGAAGGCCCAGACAGCCAGGAUGUUGGCUUAGAAGCAGCCAUCAUUUAAAGAAAGCGUAAUAGCUCACUGGUCGAGUCGGCCUGCGCGGAAGAUGUAACGGGGCUAAACCAUGCACCGAAGCUGCGGCAGCGACGCUGAUGCGUUGUUGGGUAGGGGAGCGUUCUGUAAGCCUGCGAAGGUGUGCUGUGAGGCAUGCUGGAGGUAUCAGAAGUGCGAAUGCUGACAUAAGUAACGAUAAAGCGGGUGAAAAGCCCGCUCGCCGGAAGACCAAGGGUUCCUGUCCAACGUUAAUCGGGGCAGGGUGAGUCGACCCCUAAGGCGAGGCCGAAAGGCGUAGUCGAUGGGAAACAGGUUAAUAUUCCUGUACUUGGUGUUACUGCGAAGGGGG